Non-coding RNA from Nothobranchius furzeri (turquoise killifish), 17283 nucleotides. The record is from RefSeq and is a predicted model, not a curated record. NCBI's taxonomy places the organism in Eukaryota, Metazoa, Chordata, Actinopteri, Cyprinodontiformes, Nothobranchiidae.
UACAGUGAAGAAUGAGAUGGUUUUAGGUUGCUGAUGAGAGGAAGAUUUGAAUGUAAUAAUAAGUGAACACAGUUAAAUAUAUGUAAUCCCAUAACAAGUAGGGCUGGGCAGUACGGUUUAAGAAUAAAUUACAUUCUGUAUACACUUCCUUAGAAAUAUUAGAAAAAUAAGUGUUAAACUCUGCUUUCUGGUGCAUUUAGACUGCAAUUUUGGCCACUGUUUGUUUCUUUUGUCCAUCUGAAAAUUAACAUAGUUCCAGCUGUUGUUGUAAGUGAAUUAUUUCUUUUUUCAUUCUGUCAGAAACAAGCAGAUUUUUCUGAUUGUUGGUCAGCAUUGUUGGCUGAUGUAGUUUAAAAUAUUCUGAUGAGUCAGAUCAAUUCAGACUGAAUAUUCACAGCUUUAGUCUUGUAUUAAAUCUGUUUACACAUCUCUACCCAUAGGAAUAAGAUAAUAUAUCCUACAUUCAUAUUAUUAAAAUAUAUCCUACAUUCAUAUUAUUAAAUAAAAAUAAAACACUACUGACACAUAAACAGCUUUUUUAUAAUUAAAACGUCCACGUUGGCCGGUAAUCACCUGGAUCCGGCUAAUGGGGAGUAACUAAGUAAGUAAAAGUUUAUAGAGCACCUUUCACAGAUAUAAAUCACAAAGCGCUGUACAGCAUGAUAAAGAUCAGGGCAAAUACCUCUAACCAAUAAAAACAUCAGAAAAACAAUAGCAGUGAUAAAGUAGAAAAUAAAAUCAUGAGUAUAAACAAAGUGAAGGUGUGAACCCGAACAAAGCCAUCAUUCUGAAACAUUUAGGGAGGGAACGCCUGGAUGAAAAGGUGAGUUUUUAGAUGAUUUUUAAAGACCUCUACAGUGUUAGAGAGACGGAGAUUUGAAGGUAGACUGUUCCAAAGUCUGGGUGCAAUAGUCUGAAAGGCCCUGUCCCCUUUGGUUUUCAGUCUGGUUCGAGGAACAGCCAGGAGGUUUUCAGAUGUGGAUCUAAGGUUCCGAGAGGUGGUGUGUGGGGAUAAAAGCUCAGAUAGGUAGCUUGGAGCCUGGUUGUUAAGAGCUCUAUAGGUCAGGACUAAAACUUUAAACUGUAUUCUAUAUUCUACCGGGAGCCAGUGGAGGGACUGUAAAACUGGAGUGAUGUGAGCUUGUCUGCUGGAUUUAGUUAGGAGUCUGGCUGCUGCAUUUUGGAUGGCUUGAAGGCGUGAGAGGGAGGUUUUGCUGUGACCAGUAAAAAGAGCGUUACAGUAGUCUAAGCAUGAUGACACAAAGGCAUGGAUGAUUUUUUUCCAGAUCUGCAGUAGAAACCAGUUUACGGACUUUUGAAAUGUUUCUCAGUUGAAAGAAACAAGAGCGGGAGAUGGUUUUGACGUGUGAGUCUAAACUUAAAGCUGGAUCAAAAAUAACUCCUAGGUUUCUAAUGUUGGCCUUGGCUGAUGGGCAAAAAGAGACAAUUUCUUGCUCGAUUUUUGGCUGAUGUUCCGGGGGUGCAGAGAUCAGGGCCUCUGUCUUGUUAGCAUUUAAGACAAGAAAGUUGCUGGACAGCCAGUUACUGAUCUGGGUCAGGCAGAGUACAAGUGUGGCCAGCCUGUCCAACUGGUGUGGCAUAAAGGACAUAUAGAGCUGAAUAUCAUCAGCGUAGAUGUGGUAGGAGAUGUCUGGGAAAGACUGAAUGAUGCCAGCUAGGGGAAGAAUAUAGAAUGCAAAUAGUAGAUGCCCUAGGACUGAACCUUGUGGGACCCCGCAUGUUAGAGAGGCAGUAUCUGAAGAGAAGGUUUCGGACUUCACUGUGAAUGUUCUGUUGUUGAGAUAAAAAGAGAGCCAGUCUAGAGCAGAACCUGAAAUCCCAGCCAGGGCCUUUAACCUGUUUAGUAGAACGUUGUGGUCUACAGUGUCAAAAGGAGCCUAAGUUUCCUCCCCUUCUGGCUGGCUCAUGGGUCCCCGAUCAAAAAAAAAAAAAAAAAAAACAAAAAAAAAAAAACAGAAUGUUAGUGAACUGGGCUAUAAAAGUUAUUUUCUUGUCUUUCUGGGCUUUGCCUUACGCCCUGAGUCUCAUCUGUCAGACUUUUCUAAUCCUAGAGUUUCACCGUCUAUCAGAUUUUCUAUCAGAAGCUAAAGCAGGAGAUAGCGGCAGGAGACUAUGUUCAUGUUCAGCUUGCAUGAAACACUCAGUGACACGUUAGAAUCAGAAAUAAUCAUUUAAUGUAUUUUUUUCCAGUGAAGUUGAACUACGGUAUAUAUUGACCUACAACAGAUUUGUUAGAUUUCCAAAAUGUGUCCCCCCCAAUAUUAAACUCGUUCCUUCAUGCUUGUUUUACUUCCAGCUCGAUCUGGUUUCAGCUGAUGAAAAAUGUUCAGAGAACGAGAGAUCAGUAUCUCAAGUUUUAGAGUCAGUUCAGUGUCUGUAAACAGCUAAUUAUAACAAACUCUUAAAGCUUUAAUCUACAUCUUCUAUUAAAGAUAUUUUAGAUAUUCCUAACAGCUAGGGUUGUCACGAUACUAAAAUUUCAAACUUGAUUCGAUACUUGAAAAAAAAACUUGGUACUCGAUACUCGAUUUCGAUACUAUUUAAAAACACCCAUUUAUCGAACAAGUUUAUUGAAAAAAUAACAUUCCUCAAUUUAUAUUGCAAAAAUUAAAUGUUAAGAAUUAAGUGUAUUAAGUGCUUAAACCUUUCAAGUAUCAGCAUUUUUUAAAACGUGCAUACAAAAACUGGUGAAAGUUAACACUUUAAAUCAUGAAUUGUCUCACUAUAUAUACACUAUUUGCAGAGUGAUGUUUUGCUGCUUAAACUCUGUUUAAGGUGCAUUUUUGUCAUAAGAUGUAAUGCCAUAUGUUUUGUUCUGUACUUUUGAACAACUCUGUUGGUUAAUAAAGGGAGAAAACGAAUUUCUCCACAGUAGGACAAAGGUACAUCUACCGGUAAUCUUGAUAAAAACAGACUGGCGCACGGCAGUGACGUCAUUAAAAGCGCUGGUUAGAUUAGCCGCAGCUAGUCUGUUUACGCCUAGAAAUCCCAGACCAGACCCGCUCCAAACGAACAGGGGAAUCAUGUUAAUGAUUCCUAACAAAACCUUUCGACAUGAAGAUGUUUUGGUGCAGAUAAUGUCUUAUUUCGAGGCUGCACCAUGGGUGCCCGUCCGCACCCGUUAUAUGGAUAUACGCUGACGGCGAUUCGGCGAUGGACCUACGGUAAAUACCCCGGGGAAUCCAAGUAGCACCAAAGUUGUCAGCGUGAGUAAACAAACGUACUGCAUGCUAGAAAUUAAGUCCGGGUUGCAAUAAACGGGAGUUUCCUUUAAGCACAUAAGCGUGAAUAUACAACUACGUGUCGGACUUGGUAUGCUAAUUAAGUUGGGCUGUGAAGCGCCUCCCAAAUUCGCUGUUUAUGUUUUUGUUUAUUUAUUUGGCAGACAAAACUUGGAUCGGAGACAACUCGCGUGGGAAAUUGCUAUGUAGCCAUGUGGCGUCUUCUUCUGUUUGUCUGGGAGGCGGAGGCUGCUUUACGGCAUCUGGCUGUCGUGCGUGUCGGUGUACUUGAAGAAGGCUGUGUAUAAUAGUCCAUAAUAUCGAUACCACAGGGAUGGAAUAUCUCAUUUAGAUACUACUUUUAGUAUCAAUUUAUAUCUGGGUAUCGAUUUUUUUGACAACACUACUAACAGCACACUUGGCUCUCAGACAGCAGGUUUACUUGUCAUUCCUAAGAGUUUCUGAAAGUAGAAUGGGAGAAAAUGCUCUCAGUUUUCAGACUCAUCUCUUGAGAAACCAAGUGUCAUCCAUGAGGUAGAGCCAUUACACUUUCAAGACUGGGUUUGCUGACACUUCCUGCAAGUGGAUGGUACCUCCAUCCGUCGGUAUAACGGUGGUUCUCAUCGCCCAGGGCCGGGUGUUUGGGCAUCUGCUGACUCGCUCUCAGUAGAUUAAUUAAUUGAAUCCCAACACCCCUGAAAGUUCUCAAGUUUUUCCGUAGUUAGUGGCACAUUCUAGUUUCAUCCUGACAAGGAAUGUGACUUAGGUUUUUACAUUACAAUACAGACCCACAAAACAAGUUCAGAAAUCAUUUAUACAGAAGUGAAAGACACUCCAAAUAAAAAUGUUUGGUAGAGGGAGGGGGCAUAAUAGUGAGGGUUUCACAGGCCAACAGUUAGAAACUGUUAUUGUGACAUGAGGUACUGUUCUGGAGGACAGUACCCUGAAAUUAGACCCACUUCAGCAGUUCAAAGCAGCUCUGAAAUGUUCAUUAGUUUCCCUUUCUUUUAUUUUCUUGUCUGGGUGAGGUCAUCCGCAGGGUCUGUCUGAAGGUGCCAAGGUGUAAAUGUAACCCCUGCGAAAAUGAUUAAAUUAAUCUAGGGUCAUACUUAAAAACUACAGUCAAUAAAAUGGGAUUAAACCCAUGUAAAGAGCGGGUCAGGCGUGCCUCAAGAGUCCUUCUCCACCCACGUAUCAAUUUAAAAAACUGCAACAUUAGUAGGCGUUGCCUGGUGGACUGAGAGGGCGGAGCUGCAGCAGUGACGAAGACGAUGGGUAACGAGACAAAGCUAGUUCCCUUCACUCUGAGCAGUCAUUAGAAGUGGAGGACGUUUCUCCCCCUCCUUACCCAGACACUCGAGAAGAAAGGAACCAAGUCUAUUUGGAGGAGACAAGCGGACCUGAGCCUUAUUGUUUUGAGCUUGUGAGUUGCCUGAAACUACCGGAACCAACCCAACAGAACCAGCUCUGAAAGGUGAUCCUCUGGUGUCUGCAGCUUGUCUCCUCUGGUGGUGUGGUCAGGAUCAGGAGCUUCCAGAAGAAUGCACCUUUGAGUGACUCUUUCCUCCUCUAAACAGUUAUUUGUUAUAUUAAUUAAAUAAAUCUCAAUGUAUAUAUUUCAUGUUUUUGUUCAUGUCCAUAAAUACUUAAACAUGCUUGAAAUUAAAAUGAGCUUUUAACAGUGAGCUGCUAGUUUAAUUCAUCAUAAUAGAGCUAGUUAAACAUGCAACAAUGUGAUCAUUCAGCUAAUGUAAUUUAUAAAUAUCCAUUAAAAUAUAAAAACUGGAAUCAAAAUGAGACAUUUGGCAGCACAAAAAAAAACUUGUCAAACACAAUAUUUAUUAUAAUAAUUGUAGGCAGACAGGAGACAGAGCUGAUGGAGUUUCUCAGUCAUCGAAGGAUGGCCGAAGGCUUUCCAGGAACAGGAGAUGUGGUGUUGUCUCUUCUCUCUAUUCUGCCAGAUGAGCUGAUAGGUUACAGGUGUGUGAGGACAUCAUGCUGUCAUAACCAGAUGACAUGAGUUAUCAUGUAAUCAGCCAGGCUAAUGAUGAGAUGCAGACAGAAAACAAAUCCAGGACAGUGUACAGUAAUAACGAUAAUAAUAUGUGGUGUUGCUCACCUUAUGUGCUCUUAUAGAGUAUUAACGUGUGCCUGCCUCAUGGUGUAGCAUCCAUAUUUUGCUGAGUGCCCUGCAAUAAUGCAGGUUAUUAGUUAAUUUACUUUUAAUAGCAAAAACCAAAAUAUUUAAUUUACAUGUUGUUUACCAGGUGAGUCAGCUCACACGUCACCAAGUGUAACUGGACCAGAAUCAGUAGUCUCCUUCAUGAUGCCAUGAUGUAAUCUAGCUCCAAGCUUGCAGCAGCAGCACACGUGUAGCAAUAAGCUAUGAAACGAAAACAUAGUUAAUGUUAAAACUCAAAGGCUGUAAUAAAGAUCACAUGAUUAUUAAAAACAACUCACCUUUACUACACAGUCUUGACAGCAGAUUACUUGGGUUCAUUUAGCCUGAAAAAAAAAAGUAUAUAUAUAUAACAUCACAGUGUUGUGGGAGGUAGCUUCCAGAGAUGAUGAGAAACAUGUGGAAAGCAGAGCUAGGAUGGAGCUACAGGUUUUUCUGUUAGAUCGGGAGGCCCUGAGGUAAAAUGGGAUGUUGGUGUGAGUCUGGGAAGAUAUUCUUCAGUGAUGACCUGCCAGGCUGAGACGUAAGGAAAAAAACAGAAAACAGAGUACAAUAUUAUUAUUUAGAAUGUUUUAACCUGGAUCAGCUCAUAGAGCUUGUCCUGUCAUUCAGAUGGAAGCUGCUCAGAAGCUCUCCACCACACCUGGGUCUGUUCAGGAGUGGAGAAGCUGCUCUGGGUGGAAUUCCCAUCGUGGUCCCAGUGUCAGACACACAGCUGCUGGGAGGCUAUGUGAAAUAUAAAGCAACAGCAAAUAUAUUUAUAGUUGUUUUUAACAGCAGCAACACAUGUGUAACAAUAAGCUAAAAUAAGGACAUAAUGUUAAAACUAGAAGGUAAAGAAAGACAGAUGGUUAAAUAAUUCACCUGCAAGGCUCUAGCAUGGACCGGUGCAGGCUGGAGGACUGCAUCCAGCCUGGACCGGUGCAGGCUGGAGGACUGCAUCCGUCUUGGGCAGAUUUAGCUUGAAAAAUAUAAUAACAUCACCUUGUUGUGGGAGUUUAGUAACUUAGAUCAUGUACAAAACAAACUGUCUAAUAUAGGUGCUUUAUAACAUGGCUGGUGAGUGAUCUGACUGCUCUCAGAGCUAACUCAGUGUCCAGAAUCAGACAUGUUCUAAUGAGAUGCGGACUCAGCACCAUUUCAGAACCGGGUCAGCUUUUUAGCAGAAGGAGGAGCUGCUUGUCAGUGCCCCUCCUGCUCAGCAUCAGCACUGAUAUUACUAACUGGUACAAAAACUCAACCCAAACCAGUCUGUGAAAUUAUAACACACACAACACUCACUUCGAGCCGGCGGCUAUUGUGGAAAUUAAAAAAUAACCAAAAUUAAAUAAAUGAAUGAAGUGGUUUUAUCGCAUUUUUCUAAAAACCUCUGCCAAUGACACGUUUUGGACUGAAAGCAACUAUUGGACCAUGCGGUUGUUGGUAGCGCUGAACCGCCACACUUCCUCAGGUCCUCCGUCACGCACAAGCGUGUUUUGCUAAAGAAUAUUACUGGUGUGAGAGGGUUCUUCAGUCAAUAAUAUGGGGUUGGGGCAGGGGGUGUUUUCUGACCAUGUUUGCAUUCAAAAUCUAGCUUGUUUGCAGAUUUGCUAUAGGGAGACUGGUCGGCUCAUGGGUCACUAGAAGAACGAAAAAAUAAAUGCAAGUCACUAGGGCUAAAAGAUCUGUUUUCCAAUCCGCUUUGCCUUGCUCCCUGGAUUGCACCGUCACCACAGAAUCUCCUCUCCUCUAGCUGCUACUUACCACAUGGCCAGAUUUACGGUGGUUCUUUCCUUUUCCUGUUUUGUCAUCAACAGUUAUUGAGUCAUCUUUUGGGUUUUUUUCCUGACCCACUCACAAAAGGAAGCAGGUAACUCUAUCACUUUAUUUACAACAUAGAGUCAGAACCAAAUCAGUAAAGAAACUAAAAAAAAGAGUCUCGAGCAAGGAAAUGUGGUUGAAUUAGGGGAGAGUGAAUUUACAGUUUCCAAUGAGUUGCUUUUAGGAUACGUCUUAUCCAGCGAGAGACAUGGUGAGAGCAUAACUUAGGCUGAGAGGAUGAGAAUGGGUGGGCAGAUGAAGAUCUGGUGAGGCGAGCAGAACUGAAAGCAGUCAUGGUAUGGCUGACAUGUUUCCAGGUAGUAGUGGUAGUAGCAGUGGUUUGUGAACUGGAGCUUGAUAGAGCUCUGAAGUUGUUUGAAACUGGUACACAAAAAUAAUGUAACCAAAUCAGUUAUUCGCAGAUGACAAGAACUAAGAAUACUUGAGAGGUGGCCGGUAAAUACCUGACAGGGUUAAUCAUCUGGCAAUGAUUGAUGCUGGUUGCAUCUAAUAUUCUUCAGGUCUGAUCAGUAGACUGAAGUCAGCUGUAACCGCAGCUCUGGAAAGGGAACGUCUCCCUGCGCACACCUGCAUCAUGACACAUGUUGGUCUGUUAAUGGUUAUUGACACAUACUGAUUACUUAUGUUGUUCAGUUUGGUGAUGAAUAUUUACUUGUAUGCAUAGUUUUGUUACUUUCAGACAUUGACUCAACUCUUUUGCUAAUAGCAAGAGUUUAUUUAUUCUGCUCUACUUUAUUUAGCACUGAUCAACUGAAUAAAGCUAAUCUAAAUAGUGAACAAAACAUUUGUACAGUGUAACACGUUAAAGGACCAGGUGUCCUGACUGCAACUUCACAGACAGUGAGCUAUCAGAAGUAGUUUCGACUGUGGAGCCUGAGUGUGUGAAUAAAACACAGAAACCCAAAAUAGAGCUCCAAAAAUAUAUAUAUUAUGCAUGGUAUGAAAAAUAUAUAGACAGAUGUACAAAAGCUAUAACCACAUACAACACAGACAACACAGAAGUUAUUGUUGUUACAACAGCUAUUUAUGCUGCUGAACAGUCUUGGCUGGGGACCUGUGGUUUGGCACACUGACCUCUGCAUGUAUUACUUUACGUCAUUCAGUAUACAUAGAACUGGUUUUCAUCUGCCAAUGACUGUUAAAGCAUGGCUGCAGCUAUCAAAUAUUUUAGUAUUCAAAUAUUCUAUCGGAUCCUCUAAUGAUUAAUCAAAUAUUCUAUUUGACGACAUUUCAAGUGAAUCGAGAUUGUGGUCUGCUGCUAAAAGUAUGAAAAAAGCAACAAAAUUAUAAAAGGAUCAACAAUUUGUAUAAAAUUGGUGCCGUCUAGUUCCCUUUUCCCCAGCUGAUAAUCUAUAGGUAAUAUUUUAUGGAAGUAAAUUGACAUAUAUUUCAUUAAUAUUUGGUUAAAUAUCACUCAUCCUAGUCUAAACAUAUCUUAAUAAGUAGGGCUGUAGCGAAGCCUCGACUACGUCGACGGCUCGAUUCUAAAAAUUUGUCGACGUCAGAUCCGGAAGUCGACGCACCGCGCCCACUUGUUGCAUCCCCAGGAGUUUGUAAAUAGAGGAGGAAUCUGCCUGUUUUUCCUCUAGUUCGCCCUCUUCUCCGCCUUCACUAACAUCUCCGCCAAAUACCGAAGACCCGGAACAACGUCCGUCCACUACUAGAUUAUUUUCCUGUUUUGCCCGCCUUCGUCUCCCGGCAACGGACAACAACUUCCGGGGUCAGAUGCGCUGCUUCGUGCCUACCGCAGAUGUAGAAAAUCACCGGGAGCGCUUCUCCCUUCAUUAAGGAGCUUCUUUCAGACAUGAGGAGAGCUGUUUUGGUGGUAGCAGUCUCUCCUCCAUGCUGGUCUGUUUGCUGCUGGGUGUUUUUGGUUUAUUUAAACUUGGUAACUUGAACUUAACGUUGGUAAAGCUACUGUUAGCAUCUUCGCUAACAGCUUCUUGCGUUGGGAUAAGCUGUUACGUUUUGGUUUAGAGUUCAUCUUUUUUGUGGUGUAGAUCUCCCUUUUAUUACAUUUAGAGUGUUGUGGGUUUUCGGUUUAGUGUAAAAUACCACCUGAGUUUGGUUUAACCCGUAAGACCACUCGCCUCACGCACAUAAGUGACCAAAACAAAGCAGCAUGGAGACACUCCAUCUUCUACCACCUCUCAGGCAGCAGCCUGCACUCCCAAGUUCUACACGUCACCAGAACAUAACCAACCAACACAAUAAACGCAGUGUUAUACAAAAUGGAAGGCCUGUAGUGUUUAUUCUCUUACAGUAAGAAUUUAUCAAUUUUUUUGAGGAAUUUAUUUGAGAUUUUCUGGUUUUUGUUAAUUGUGCAAUAGAAAAAUAAUCAUUAGAUUAAUUUUCUAAAUAGUCAUUAGAAUAGUCGACUAUUCGAUAAAAUAAUCGUCAGAAUAAUCGUUUUAAAAAUAAUCGUUUACCCCCAGCCCUAUUAAUAAGUUCACAUAUGGUCAGUAGAAUUGAAUUAUUUCAUUGACAUGUUCAGUAGUAAGCUACUGGAAAUGCUACCAACAUGCAAUUUCUACAAGUAACAAUGUAAUGGUGGCAUACAUAUUUUAUUAUGUACGGGUUGGCAAUAUAAUCUAAAUUGUAUUCAUAGCUUGCCAUAGCUCUGCUGCAGUGUGUGGAGCAGACUCAGUUCGCUGACUCUCAGUAGCAACAACCUGACUCCAGCUCAGCAGCUGCAGCAGUUCUGCUCCAUACCGCUGCAGCUGCAGACAUCCACACAUUAACGGGACAGUGGGGAUUUUUCUUCCGCCUGUACAGUUUAGUUAUUAGCAGCCAUCACAUUUUUUUCAGAACUCCACUUGAUCGUGAGUGUGCUACAUGCUAGCUUAGCAUUAGCUAAUCUGCCCUUAGUUUAACUCUUGAUCCCAAACUUUGGACCAUUUCUGCCUUUUACAAUAGUUUCUGUCUUUGCUGGUUUCUCUAUUUUCCUCCGCUGCACCUAGAUCACCACAUUGUACACCAGUAAAAUAUGUUCAGACUGUGGUGUGCACAUUUAACGAAGCUUUCAAUCACUAAAAAAAUGAAUCGAGGAAUUUAAUGAUCAUUCUGUGAUUCGUUAAAGCCCUAUGUUUAACCAAUCCAGUUAAAAUGGCUAUCAUACUUCUGACGUCAAUUUAGCCCAACUUCAGCAUUUUAUGUUGUGUCAAAUAUUUGACUCUUGCUUCAUAUCUGUGCUGCCUUUGACCUAAAGCAAAGAUCAAUUGUUCACUGGGACAUUUAUUGUUACACAGUUGGCUUCUUGUAUUGAGAGUGUGCUUAAGCAAAAUCAAUAUUGUUUUAUCAGAGGCUCAAAUGAAAGCAUUAAUCCUGAGGCUGAACUGCGUGAUACAGUGUACUCUAAUGCUACAAAACAAAAGCAUGCUAGUAUUUUUGCAGCAGCUGCUAUGACCUCUUGUGACCUUUAUAGUGUCAACCACCACUAUAAUUCACACUUAAAACAGAUAAAAUGAGUAUAGCAGCUUCAUCUUUUGUAUACAUGCACACACACACUUUGGCAGUUAAAAACAAGAAUGAAAGCCUUUCAUCAUUUUUGCAUACAUAACAAAGUAUCUCUUAAACAAAUGGAUAGAAUGAACAGGGAAAAAAGAUGGUGCACAGUGUUGCAGAGGACAUAAAUGUUGCUUUACAGUAGGGCUUCAACGAUUCGUCGACGUUGUCGCCAGACGUGUUUUUUCUGACCGAGUGAGGCAUCUCACUUCAUUGCAAUCUCUGCCGAGAGUCGCACAUGCGCAAUAGCAUCUCUAACAGCAAUAGCCAACUAACAGAAAUGGCAGUGUCCAAUACAGCCUGGAUUCGGCGAAUCAAAAGUUUACCUGCAUUAUUUGCAAAGCAGUCCUUGCGUAUCACGGCAGCACCUCGGUGAUGCAUGAACACUUAAAGAGAAAGAAGGUUGGACAGUUGAAUGAAACUGAGUCUGACUCACCUCGGUACGAUUUAAAUAACACGAAAACCGAUACGUUUUGUUUUGGAUGUACAUUGUACAUUUUUUAAAUUGAUUUUUGCUUUUAAAAAAGAGAGAUUUAAUGUUAUGCCGGGCUGUGCCUGACUAAAGUAUUUUAAUUUAAUUUAUGCAUUUAUGUCUGUACUGACUUUGUACUGUACUUAAUUGGUGUUUAGACAGGGCAUUUUUAUUUACUUUUAGUAUGAAUUGGCCUAUCAGCAGCAAAGUUCAAUAAAAUAUGCAUUUUCCAUUGAAGUACCCAUCUUUCUUGUGUUUAUCAUUUUUAACACAAUUAAAUCAAUCUCAUGCUAAAUUUAAGAAAAAAAAAUUAUCCGAUUAGUCGACUAAUUGUUUCAAUAGUCGGUGACUAGUCGACUAUUAAAGUAGUCGUUAGUUGCAGCCCUACUUUACAGCCUAUACCGUCUCUGGGUUUAAAGAAAAUGUGGGUUACUCCAGGACAGCUGUUCACAACUUGAGAUCCUUGUCAGCCUAAAGAAGGGGUGGGAGGGUACAAUCUCAGAGCAUUUGCAAGUUCUUCUCAGCAUCUGGUUAUUAAAAAUAAGUUUAACACAACUACAAAAUGCUAACUGUGGGUGGAUGGAUGGAUGGAUGGAUGGAUGGAUGGAUGGAUGGAUGCAGAUCCAGGUGCAACAAAUAUUGCUGCCUUUGACUGGAGGUUUAGUGAGUUGGUUUCUCAUUUUUUUAAUUAAAGGAAUGAGAAAAAAGCAGAGUACAUCAAACACUAAAAAAUGGAGAACAGAAUUGGAAUACAUGCAAAAUGAGGAAUUACAAAGCAUACAUUUCUAGAUGUAGGUGGAGGCUCCAGGUUGCAGGAGCAGCUCUGUUUUUCUGCUUCAGAGCUCACCCAAGCAAUGCUUCAAGGCACUUGGCCACUUAAAACAAUUGAGGCUUUUGAAAAUGUGGUGGUCUGAUGCCUUUAAAGCUUUUCUGUCUCAGGGGAGGUGGUCACAAGAGAUGAUUACUUAAAAAGAGUUGAUAAAGAAGGCCCUAGAGCUGUCAGUCAGCUAGGGCUCCAGCUGUGUGUCUUUGAUGAAGAGAUAACGACCUGAAUGAAAAAAUAAGAUUAAUGUUGUGUGUGUGUGUUAUAUGUAUUGAGUGUGCUUCUUGCAUCUCCAAGAGCUAGGGGUCAGAAGUCCUUGGGGAGGUUUAAGAAUGGGCAAACUUGUUUUCUAGAAAGGCAAAGAGCAACAAAAGAAGAAGGAAAGAAGUUGGAGGGAACAGCAGUAUGGCAUAGCCAGAAGAGUAAUCUCAACGUAUCUCUGAGCUGUCAAUCACAUCACAAAACCCAGUUUGCUCCAAAGUAGGGCUGCAGCUAUCGAAUAUUUUUGUAAUCGAGUACUCUAUUGAAUAUUUGAUCGAUUAGUCGAGUACUCUAAUAAAUUACCCUUUUUUGUUUGUAAACCAUUAUAUCAAAUAGCAUGUUAUAAAAUAUGAAAGACCUCUUAAAAUGAGAAAGCAAUUGCCACUUAUUCUUCAAGAUUUAUUCAAAAUUAGUUUUCAAAACUUCAGCACUUCAACUUUACAGUAAACAAAUGCGAGCGGCUGCGGCCCAAACAGCACCAGAACCGCUCACGGCGCAUGCGCAAACAUGGCUCGCCAGCUAUUUCCCUAUUAACACACGUCCGUUUUAAGUUCUACACUUUUUUUCUCACACAAUAACAAGGAUUGUCGACAGCAUGUUUGCCGUGGUAAUGUCAAAUUAUACUGAUCACACAACAUUUAUUUACUUUCUUUCGUUUUCCUCCGUCACUCUCAUAAAUACCCGUGUCCUCCUGCAGCAAUCCCGAGGGACAACGGACAUCAAUAACAACACAGUAAAAAGUCUGACGUGUUGUAAAAAAUGCUAUUUUUAGCACAUUUUAAGUCCGACGUGUUGCUACCAGACGUACGGUGUGAGCUGAAACUGAGUGCUACAAAUGAAAAAGUCGCACAGUGUCCGCAGAAUAUAUAGAAAUACAGGCUAAAAUGCAUUAUCUUGUAGGGGCUCCGAGUCUGCUUGCAGAAGUGACAUUUACAUGUGGAUGUUUCCUGGUCAGGAGCUGCAGCUUGGAGGAUGUGGUGUUGUGGUAGGCUAAAUCCAUUUUACAGUUUUUAAACUGGACUACGUUUUCCACCUUACGACGUGAAAAAUGGUCCCACACCUUUGACAUUUUGUGUCUUUUUCGCACUCCACCGGGGUCCACGUUGUCCACCAUGGUUAAAGAGAAGUUAAGUUACAUUCGCUACUGGCGUGUGCAUUCAGUGCAGUGUGUAUGUGCGUCACUUAUUUCGGUCCGGGUGAAACAUGACCACGGGUGAUUGCAAAGCCAUGAAUUAAUUAAACAUGAAUUAAAUGAAGCCUCGAGGCAGAGAAUUUGACUCGAGGAUUUCUUGUACUCGAAUUAUUCGAGGUACUCGAGGAAUCGUUUCAGCCCUACUCCAAAGCAAGCUGCUGAGUGAGAAUCAAAAAGGAAACACAGACCACCUUUUUCCUGCAGCAAACAAAUGCUCUCUAAAUUUUCCAGUUAAAAUUGAGUUGAAACAGACCUGUUGAAUAUUUUAGGUGCAGGCUAAAUGAAACAUCUUGUACAGACACGGAUGGAAAAUAUUGGGGAGGACAUUCUGAGUUGCAUGUUAAGACAGUAAUGCUCAGCUGGCUGACGUACCUUUUAUAUUUUUCUCCACCACAGUGUACAGUUUAAAUCAGCCAUGAUCAUGUCAAAAUAUUGUUAUGGCCCAGCAUCCUGUUUUCACUUCAGGGCCUUUUUUUAGAGAGGAGCUCAAAUUAUUCUUAAGAGAGAUGGGAGUGGCUGUUUUAGAGCCACCAGGGACAUUAAUUAAAAUUGGCUUACAGUAAUCUGCAAAAGUUUUAGGUAGGAGUGAAGAAAUGCUGUGAACAAAGAAUGCUUUCAGAAAUAUAAGAAAAUUAGUUAUUUUCACUCAUUUACAAAUUACAAAGUGAGUGAUCGCAAACAUGCAGCAAAAGUCCUUAAGAACUAUCUUCAGCAGAAAGAAGAACAAUAAGUCCUGGAAGUGAUGGUUGGGCCCCACAGAGCCCUGAUCAUGGAGUGUUUCUGGGAAGAGACAGAAAGAUGUGAGGAAGCUUAUAUCCACAGAAGAUCAGUGGUUUGUUUUCUGAGAUAUUAGGAACAACCUACCAGCCCAGUUCCUUUAACAACAGUGUGAAAGUGUAUCUAAAAGAGUUGAUGCUGUUUGGAAGACAAAAGGUGGUCACACCAAAUAUUGAUCUGAUUUAGUUUUCUAUUUUGUUCAUUCUCUGCUUUUUGUUGAUGAUGAAAAAUAACAUUAACACUCAUUCUUGAAAGAAUUACUUGUUUACAGCAUGUUUUCACACCUGCCUAAAACUUUUGUCCAGUGCUGUGUAGAUAAAAUCAAAGUCUCAAGGCUGAUUUAUACUGCUCCGUCAGCUCAAGAGUGGAGUCACUCACAAAAAUUGACAAAGAUGUUUCACUUCAGAUUUCUCUGUCAGCUGGAAGAAAGCAAUUCCCUGCCAGGACAGCAGAGGGCGUAGUUCUAUUUGCAGGUUUCCUGCCACUAAUCACAAGCUUGCAGUCUUUGUCAUUUUCAACAGAAAGUUUAAAAUUUGUGCAGGUCUCCGUCAGCCUCUGUGAGCCCAUUGGAAAGCCCUUACGCAAACGCUUACUGGCGUUGCGUGUCUCCGUACCCAUGCAGAUGGAAAAGUAUAAAUCAGGCUUAAUACAUGCUGUACUGAACCCUAAGACUAAGGAAAAGCUCCAACGCAAAGUGGAAACUCUUCAUAUAAACAGGUAAAAAGCACCCACGGUCUCUCUUUUAAUCCCUCCUGCAUUGUUGGCAUCCCAACCCACCCGCUCCCACCUCUCCGUGCCGUUGUCUGCAGCUCCGCUGUCUCAGAAAAACUAAACACUCCUCUCACUCAGCGCCGAGUUUCCUCAGCUAUUUGCCGACAUUGAAGCCCAGAAACGGAGAUUUUAACCGCUCAGUAAUGUGUUCACGACUGAAAGAGAAAGUUUUCCAACUAACUUCCAGACAGAGCUGAUAUAACUCCAGCGAGCAGCGAUGCGCUCAAAUCAGCAUGACUCUGUGACUGCUGUCGUUUUUAUUUUUCCUCCCUGGCACACAAUGUGGUCAAGCUGCGCAGACGCUCUCCAUGUUCACCAGCACAAACCUAUGAGAGCACCUGUUAUCUAAUGUUGUCAUUAUUAUGAUGAAGAUGAACAAAAUAACAGGAGUCUCCUCCUCAGCUCAACCCCAUGAUGCAGGUAUCUGGCUGGAACAGGUGAGCAUCACAGUAAAUAAGUGGAGCAAACCGAGCUUUGAAUAUUUUGUUUUUAUGCUCUUUUUCUGCUUCAAAACAUGAAAGUUGCAUGUUGCAUUUUCAUUUAAGAUAAAAUUGUAUUUUUAUUUUGUUGUUGGCCCGUGAGAAAAAUUUUAACCUUCAGUAAAACUGGAAAGGCUGCAGAUAGAUGAAUAGAAUAGAAAAUCCUUUUAUUGUUCCUCAGUGGGGAAAGCUAGAUGCCACAGCAGCGCUGACACUUAUUACAGGAGAAAAAAAAAGAAUAAAAAUAAGAAAAAAGAAAAAAACAUAAAUCCUGAAUAGAUUUUAAAAAUGCUGAAUAUACCACAAGUAAUGAAUACCGCUGAUGCGUUUUAUUUAAAAUUGACUUGCUCGUGUGUAAUUUGAUUGAUCCACAUUCAGUGUUAACCCCUUGAUGCAUAAUGGUCACUACAGUGGACAAGUACUCAAAAUUGUUAUUUAUUUGUUUUUGCUAUUAAGGACAGCUGUUGAAGACUUUAUUGCAUUUGAGCCCCUCCAUUUGGACUUCAGUAAGCCAAGCCAUCAUAUUUCAUGUUCUGGAUGCACGCUGUCCAAAUACAAAAAGUAUUUGUUGAAAUUUGUUUCAUCCACACCCAAAGAUGAAUGAAAAAAAUUGUUAAAAAAAUCAUGGUUGAAGAUUUCAUAAUUCAUGCAUCAAAGGGUCAAUGCAAAAAUGAGUUUGUUUCCAAGUUAAAGGUUCAAAAUUGCAUAUAUGUUAAAGAAAAUGUGCAAAUUUGCCGUAACUUUUUCAAAAAAUAUUAAGUUUGGCCCGCGACUUUGUCCCAGAUUUUCAUUUAGGCCCACUGUGAAUUUGAGUUUGACACCCCUGCUUUAAAGUGUCCUAAUUUUCCUGAACACACAUUGUCCCUUACAUGCAGUGAACUAGUACAGGAGGUGAUCAAUCCUCAGAUGUACAGUUUAAUGGGUCCACUCUGCAAACAAGACAGAAAAAGCUGCUUGAGGGUACUUCACAGGGGAGGAUUUGCUAGUGUGCAAGUGGGUUCUUCGAGGUGAUAAUCUUAGGGGUGUUGUCAAAUAGCUGAAUCAAUCAAGUCUGUGUCCUUGUGUCCAGCUUUUUGAACACCUUUUUAUUGAUUGGGCUGGGCCUUUGCCUUAGUCAAAAGCAGGUAGGUAGGGAUUUACUAACUGUUGUAGCGGAAAUCCACAUUUUAUAUCCUCAGAUUAACUUUGUUUGGAUUCACAUGAAGGAGAACAUAACUAUUUUCACAAAGUUUUUCAUCUAACAUUUAGCAGAAGAAAAUCAAAGGGGGAAUUUGAACCUGGCCCGCAGUUUCAGCAUUCUGGUUACCUCAUACGACUCUCUCCCAGGAUCGUAAAUUGCACCAAUUUGACUGGACUCCCUUUUGAUCCAAUCAGGAGGCGCAAGUAAUAUCAGAAAACUGGCCUGUUUUAUAUCAACCUCAGACUGACCCUUUUCUCAAGAUAGGGGAAGUCGUAAAACUUCUUUUAGGUCCUCCUGCAGGGUAUCCAUGGGCCCUUAAAAAGUCUUAAAUUAGCCUUUCCAAAUUUAAGGCCUUAAAAAUCCUUAAAAAUUACAAAUAAUCCUUAAAUACAGUUUCCAAAGGUCUUAAAUUUUCAAAGACCCAAUAAACAAGAGUCUUUUAUUUCUAUAAAAUUUUCAUGAAUUUCUAGUUAGUCUUCAGCAUUUUUUGUGUAUGAUAUUGGCAUAAGCGGAACCGUACACAUUCAGUUGGUUGUGAAAGGGGGCUAUUUUUAGAUGAGCACAUUAGCUGGUUAAACUAGU